CGGGGUGUAGUAUAGUGGUAGUACGCGGGCUUCGGGAGUCCGUAGUCUGAGUUCGAUUCUCAGCACCCCGACCA
RNAcentral lists this transfer RNA (74 nucleotides) under Candidatus Sungiibacteriota bacterium. RNAcentral describes it as "tRNA-Pro". It matches the Rfam family "tRNA". From Rfam's summary of the family: Transfer RNA (tRNA) molecules are approximately 80 nucleotides in length. Their secondary structure includes four short double-helical elements and three loops (D, anti-codon, and T loops). Further hydrogen bonds mediate the characteristic L-shaped molecular structure. tRNAs have two regions of fundamental functional importance: the anti-codon, which is responsible for specific mRNA codon recognition, and the 3' end, to which the tRNAs corresponding amino acid is attached (by aminoacyl-tRNA synthetases). tRNAs cope with the degeneracy of the genetic code in two manners: having more than one tRNA (with a specific anti-codon) for a particular amino acid; and 'wobble' base-pairing, i.e. permitting non-standard base-pairing at the 3rd anti-codon position. Lineage: Bacteria; Candidatus Sungiibacteriota. The record is from RNAcentral.